Long non-coding RNA from Priapulus caudatus, 218 nucleotides. RefSeq lists it as uncharacterized. The transcript is spliced from 3 exons. Lineage: Eukaryota; Metazoa; Priapulida; Priapulimorpha; Priapulimorphida; Priapulidae. The record is from RefSeq and is a predicted model, not a curated record.
AGUGACGGCUGCCAUCUUGAGGGAACCAUGUCAUUGACGGUGAGGAUGUUUGUCAUCUGGUCUCUGCUGUCAGCGCUGGCAGCGCUGGCUCUCAGCAAUGCUGCGCCCAUGGAACAAGAACAACCGUCGACGUGCCCCCCAUGCAUCUGCAACGUGACAGCGAUGCCACAGUCGGCGUGCACGACACAGCCGCAGACCAGUAUAGGCUACAAAAAUGA